ACUGAGACACGCCCGAACUCUACGGGAGCAGCAGUGGGGAUAUGGACAAUGGGGCAACCUGAUCCAGCCAUGCCGCGUGUGUGAAGAAGGCCCUCGGGUGUAAAGCACUUUCAGCGAGGAAGAACGCCUAUCGGUUAAUACCCGGUAGGAAAGACAUCACUCGCAGAAGAAGCACCGGCUAACUCCGUGCCAGCAGCCGCGGUAAUACGGAGGGUGCAAGCGUUAAUCGGAAUUACUGGGCGUAAAGCGCGCGUAGGUGGCUUGAUAAGCCGGUUGUGAAAGCCCCGGGCUCAACCUGGGAACGGCAUCCGGAACUGUCAGGCUAGAGUGCAGGAGAGGAAGGUAGAAUUCCCGGUGUAGCGGUGAAAUGCGUAGAGAUCGGGAGGAAUACCAGUGGCGAAGGCGGCCUUCUGGACUGACACUGACACUGAGGUGCGAAAGCGUGGGUAGCAAACAGGAUUAGAUACCCUGGUAGUCCACGCCGUAAACGAUGUCGACCAGCCGUUGGGUGCCUAGAGCACUUUGUGGCGAAGUUAACGCGAUAAGUCGACCGCCUGGGGAGUACGGCCGCAAGGUUAAAACUCAAAUGAAUUGACGGGGGCCCGCACAAGCGGUGGAGCAUGUGGUUUAAUUCGAUGCAACGCGAAGAACCUUACCUACCCUUGACAUCUACAGAAGCCGGAAGAGAUUCUGGUGUGCCUUCGGGAACUGUAAGACAGGUGCUGCAUGGCUGUCGUCAGCUCGUGUUGUGAAAUGUUGGGUUAAGUCCCGUAACGAGCGCAACCCUUGUCCUUAUUUGCCAGCGAGUAAUGUCGGGAACUCUAAGGAGACUGCCGGUGACAAACCGGAUGAAGGUGGGGACGACGUCAAGUCAUCAUGGCCCUUACGGGUAGGGCUACACACGUGCUACAAUGGCCGGUACAAAGGGCUGCGAGCUCGCGAGAGUCAGCGAAUCCCUUAAAGCCGGUCUCAGUCCGGAUCGGAGUCUGCAACUCGACUCCGUGAAGUCGGAAUCGCUAGUAAUCGUAUUCAGAAUAUUGGUAUGUAAUU
This 1050-nucleotide ribosomal RNA is filed under the name Halomonas sp. Its description in RNAcentral is "bacterial SSU rRNA". It matches the Rfam family "Bacterial small subunit ribosomal RNA", at positions 318 to 1371 of the family's 1533-position model. The record is from RNAcentral. Lineage: Bacteria; Pseudomonadati; Pseudomonadota; Gammaproteobacteria; Oceanospirillales; Halomonadaceae.